Non-coding RNA from Pelobates cultripes (western spadefoot toad), 1237 nucleotides. The record is from the annotation of a GenBank genome assembly. Lineage: Eukaryota; Metazoa; Chordata; Amphibia; Anura; Pelobatidae.
CAACACCAUAUUUUAUGGUGUACUAUUCUUAGAAAUAAGUAUGUUAGAAUGGGGCAUGGUAAAAGAGUCAUGCUUAUGGUGCAGAAUUCAGCAAAACCAUUAUUAAUAUAAAUGUAUUUGGCAUGUUACAGGUUUUAGCAUGCGAAAAAUACAGCAGGGCUCAACAAAUCCGAGGUAGCCACUGCGACUAGAAAUUUCACCCUGUCACCUGGGAUUUGCCAGCUCUUUCGUUAGUGUGGACGCCGCGGGAGCUUUGACGGAGGCCGUCACAGGGAAUAUUGAAGGCGGGCAGCGUGCAAUGGAGCAGUACUGCUCUGUUCUCCAUCGCACUGUCAAAUCAUCCCGGGAGCUGGAAUCAUUACAUAGCAGAGAGGAGCUACAGGCAGAGUACUACUCCUUCGCACACAGGACGAGACCCUGGACCCCAUGGAAAGACCCACUCAGCUCUCCCAAAGGCAGGGAGGCUGAGUGGGUUUCAAUUAAAACAAAAAUGUAAGUGUGUAAGAGAGCCUGUUUUUUAUGUGUGUGUGUGAGAGAGAGAGCCUGUCAAGAGUGUGUCUGUGUUUGUCUUAGAAUGUGUGUGUGCCUGUCUUAGAGUGUGUGUGCGAGCCUGUUGUCAGCGUAAGAGUAUGUAUGAGCGUUUAGGUAUCUGCGCCCUCCGAUUGCAUUAAGGGAGGUGUUUUUACUCCCCUUUUUUCUAUUUUCCCACGCCGUGCCAGUUUCGCCAUGGCUGAGAUUACCAACAUUUAUGAUCUCAGCUAAGCCAAUGAUUUCCCUUAGGAAAGCAUUGGGAGGAUUUUGUGCAUGUGCAGCAAAUGUACCAAUCCGCAUCUACUCCUAGAGAUGCAUUAAAUUAAUUAAUCUCUAUGAGGAACAUUCAGCGCCUCCUUGCAGAGCUUGGAGACACUGAACCUGGGUGCUGUACAUAGUGCAGCAGUGACCCAGGAAUCUCUAGUGGCCAACUGAGUGACUGUCACUAGAGGUGUUACUAAGCAGCAAUGUAAACACUGAAAAGCCUGCAGGGACAGGCUAUAGACACCAGAACAACUACACCAAGCUGUAUUGGUUCUGGUGGCUAUAGUGUCCCUUUAAGAAUUGCAUUUUCUUGUUGAAAAUUACUGGCUCGUAGAUUCCAAACAAAUUUAUCAAGCCCUGUACUGGUGUAUUAGUUUGUUUUGGUGCCUUUAAUGCCCCUUUAAUUAGAAGACAACAGAUAACCCAUCACUCUAUAUCAAAG